CCUACGGGCGGCAGCAGUGGGGAAUAUUGGGCAAUGGGCGCAAGCCUGACCCAGCAACGCCGCGUGAAGGAAGACGGCUUUCGGGUUGUAAACUUCUUUUAAGCGGGGAGAGCAGAAGACGGUACCUCUUGAAUAAGCGACGGCUAACUACGUGCCAGCAGCCGCGGUAAUACGUAGGUGGCAAGGGUUUUCCGGAUUUACUGGGGGUAAAGGGCGUGUAGCCGGGCUGACAAGUCAGAUGUGAAAUUCCGGGGCUUAACCCCGGACCUGCAUUUGAAACUGUUGGUCUUGAGUAUCGGAGAGGCAGGCGGAAUGCCUAGUGUAGCGGUGAAAUGCGUAGAUAUUAGGAGGAACACCAGUGGCGAAGGCGGCCUGCUGGACGACAACUGACGGUGAGGCGCGAAAGCGUGGGGAGCAAACAGGAUUAGAUACCCUAGUAGUC
This 442-nucleotide ribosomal RNA is filed under the name uncultured bacterium. RNAcentral describes it as "partial 16S ribosomal RNA". It matches the Rfam family "Bacterial small subunit ribosomal RNA", at positions 338 to 795 of the family's 1533-position model. The record is from RNAcentral.